UUUUUUAACAGUAUGGAACGGUUUAAGCUUGUCUGGAGGGUAUAACCCUUACUUUUUCGACAGUUCUUUAACUGAAAAUGCAUAACACGAUUUGCUAAACAAUUACCUACUUCCUGGACUGCGCGAUUUUUUAGAUGAUUACAACGAACUGUACUACCAACAUGAUGGAGCACCUACCCAUUCUACGAUUAAAGUUCGUAAUUUUUUCAAUCUUGAAUUCAAUAGUCAUGUCUAGUUAUGGGAAUAAUCAAAUGAUUUUGAUAAUCCAGAUAUUAUAAUCGAAAUAUUGUAUCUAAUCGAAUAGAUUAAGAUCGUUAUCUAAUCAAUAAACAUUUUGAUUUUCAUAAUCGUGUGAUUUAUUCGAUGUACCUAAUCGAGUAGAUAAGAAUCACUCAAUAUAUUGUGAAAAUUCAUGCUAUUUUAGAUUCUGAGCAGUUACACAAAUGUCGACUAGAAAUUUUUCUCCAGUCAAAAAAAAACAAUAAACCUGAUUUGUUGCAUUUUGGAACUAGAUGGUUUAUAAUUUGAUAUGAUAUUAAUAGUCUCGAUGGAAUGUAAUUCGGAAUCUGGAUCGUCUGCUGCAGAGACAAAAACAAUAUGUGAUGAAGGAUGUUUCCGUUUCAAAUGCUCUUUAGAAAACAAGUUAAAACGAUAUUGAGAAAUUUACUUUUUUUAUAGGUACCUACAUUUUUAUUUUAUAACAUUCAUUAUUUAUUAAAUCUACAACAUUCUUACCUUUUAAAUUAGUUGUAUUUCCGUAAAACUUUAAUUUUUUUUUUACAGAUUUGACAAUGAACUACACUUUUAUCAGCAUUUUUUUUUAAAUGCUCCCACACUACAAAACGUUUUUGACUGCCUGAUCGCAUUUUAAAAUUUAAAAAUUUAUUUUGGAUUUUUUACGAUAUGCAUUAAUUUCGUAUACGAUGUUUUACGAUACGCGAACGGUUUCAAUAAAUGAAACAAACGAUACAAUAAAAU
This is a non-coding RNA of Cinara cedri, 978 nucleotides long. Lineage: Eukaryota; Metazoa; Arthropoda; Insecta; Hemiptera; Aphididae. The record is from the annotation of a GenBank genome assembly.